Molecule: ribosomal RNA, 460 nt
Filed under: uncultured bacterium
Lineage: Bacteria
Description: partial 16S ribosomal RNA
Rfam family: Bacterial small subunit ribosomal RNA
Source: RNAcentral
CCUACGGGGGGCAGCAGUGAGGAAUAUUGGUCAAUGGACGAGAGUCUGAACCAGCCAAGUAGCGUGUAGGAUGACUGCCCUAUGGGUUGUAAACUUCUUUUAUAUGUGAAUAAACUGUUCCACGUGUGGGAUUUUGUAUGUACCAUAUGAAUAAGGAUCGGCUAACUCCGUGCCAGCAGCCGCGGUAAUACGGAGGAUCCGAGCGUUAUCCGGAUUUAUUGGGUUUAAAGGGAGCGUAGGUGGAUUGUUAAGUCAGUUGUGAAAGUUUGCGGCUCAACCGUAAAAUUGCAGUUGAAACUGGCAGUCUUGAGUACAGUAGAGGUGGGCGGAAUUCGUGGUGUAGCGGUGAAAUGCUUAGAUAUCACGAAGAACUCCGAUUGCGAAGGCAGUUCACUGGACUGCAACUGACACUGAGGCUCGAAAGUGUGGGUAUCAAACAGGAUUAGAUACCCUAGUAGUC